RNAcentral lists this long non-coding RNA (202 nucleotides) under Carica papaya (papaya). RNAcentral describes it as "long non-coding RNA (CPAP_LNC005482)". The record is from RNAcentral. Lineage: Eukaryota; Viridiplantae; Streptophyta; Magnoliopsida; Brassicales; Caricaceae.
AAUCGCAGGUAUGCGGAUCGCCCACGUGACCUCCCUCGUGGCACCACGUCAGCAUCCAUUACUACACGGCAUGUUCUGGUUCGUCGAGACUGCUGACCGGGCAUCCUACAUGGCACAAAUUUUUUAAAUUGUAUUUUGAUCCAUAUUUUCGAUUUUUCUUUAAAAAAUGCUCUUAAAACCCAAAUUUUCACCAUUUUUCCCC